UGGGGAAUAUUGCACAAUGGGGGAAACCCUGAUGCAGCGACGCCGCGUGAGCGAAGAAGGAUUUCGAAUCGUAAAGCUCUGUCCUAUGAGAAGAUAAUGACGGUAUCAUAGGAGGAAGCCCCGGCUAACUACGUGCUAGCAGCCGCGGUAAUACGUAGGGGGCUAGCGUUGUCCGGAAUCACUGGGCGUAAAGGGUUCGCAGGCGGAAAUGCAAGUCAGGUGUAAAAGGCAGUAGCUUAACUACUGUAAGCAUUUGAAACUGUAUAUCUUGAGAAGAGUAGAGGUAAGUGGAAUUUUUAGUGUAGCGGUGAAAUGCGUAGAUAUUAAAAAGAAUACCGGUGGCGAAGGCGACUUACUGGGCUCAUUCUGACGCUAAGAAACGAAAGAGUGGGUAGCAAACAGG
Molecule: ribosomal RNA, 403 nt
Filed under: Verrucomicrobiota bacterium
Lineage: Bacteria; Pseudomonadati; Verrucomicrobiota
Description: Verrucomicrobia bacterium partial 16S ribosomal RNA
Rfam family: Bacterial small subunit ribosomal RNA
Source: RNAcentral